AUUGAACGCUGGCGGCAGGCCUAACACAUGCAAGUCGAGCGGUAGAGAGGUGCUUGCAUCUCUUGAGAGCGGCGGACGGGUGAGUAAUGCCUAGGAAUCUGCCUAGUGGUGGGGGAUAACGUUCGGAAACGGACGCUAAUACCGCAUACGUCCUACGGGAGAAAGCGGGGGAUCUUCGGACCUCGCGCCAUUAGAUGAGCCUAGGUCGGAUUAGCUAGUUGGUGAGGUAAUGGCUCACCAAGGCGACGAUCCGUAACUGGUCUGAGAGGAUGAUCAGUCACACUGGAACUGAGACACGGUCCAGACUCCUACGGGAGGCAGCAGUGGGGAAUAUGGACAAUGGGCGAAAGCCUGAUCCAGCCAUGCCGCGUGUGUGAAGAAGGUCUUCGGAUUGU
RNAcentral lists this ribosomal RNA (395 nucleotides) under uncultured bacterium. RNAcentral describes it as "bacterial SSU rRNA". It matches the Rfam family "Bacterial small subunit ribosomal RNA", at positions 30 to 426 of the family's 1533-position model. The record is from RNAcentral.